CGGAUUGGGUUUCAAAAUUGGACCCAUUCUAUAUUGCGGGUCAGAUCACCUAAUUUGACCUGUUGAUCCAAUCUAUACACGAUUUAAGGAUUUAUGGGGCCGGACUAGGUUUUAAAUUUGGGCACGUUCCAUAUUUCAGGUCGGGUUUGGGUUUAUUAAGGUCAGACCCGACCUGAUAUGAUCCGAUCGUUUGCUAUAUAGGUCUAAUUUGGGUCUUCUAACUUAUUACUCGAGUUUAUCCAAUCCCCAAAU
RNAcentral lists this long non-coding RNA (252 nucleotides) under Phoenix dactylifera (date palm). RNAcentral describes it as "long non-coding RNA (PDAC_LNC000576)". The record is from RNAcentral. Lineage: Eukaryota; Viridiplantae; Streptophyta; Magnoliopsida; Arecales; Arecaceae.